UAUCAACACCCAAAGCUGAAGUUCUAUUUAAACUAUUCCCUG
Molecule: transfer RNA, 42 nt
Filed under: Cephalophus dorsalis (bay duiker)
Lineage: Eukaryota; Metazoa; Chordata; Mammalia; Artiodactyla; Bovidae
Also listed under: 2 other names
Description: partial tRNA-Pro
Source: RNAcentral